Molecule: ribosomal RNA, 501 nt
Filed under: Triticum aestivum (bread wheat)
Lineage: Eukaryota; Viridiplantae; Streptophyta; Magnoliopsida; Poales; Poaceae
Description: partial small subunit ribosomal RNA
Source: RNAcentral
AUGCUAGCGCCAAGCUUUCAUCCAUUGCACCAAAUGUCCAAACUCUUUUUUUUACACUCACUUUAUGAGACAGUCAAUACACCUAUGGUGCUGGGUAAAUUUCUGCACCUCAAGUAUUUGGAGAUAAAACUUUUCAUGCCAACUCGUUCUCCAGGUUACGACUUCUGUUCUUUGGUUUCUUUUCUUGAUGCUUCUCCCACCUUGAGGACUUUCGUCUUGUGUGUAGAGGCUCCUACCAUGGAAGGUGGUUUGAUUCCUGGAGUCAAUAUGUGCGAAGAUUUCUCAUUGGCAAGUUCUGUUCCGAAACACCGACAUCGCAAGCUUAAGAGUGUUAUCAUCACUGGCUUUUGCCCUUGGAAGACAAUGAUUGAGCUAACGAGAUGUAUUCUUGAUUAUGCAACGUCACUAAAGCACCUUACCCUGGACACUACUCUUGGAUAUCGUAGGAGGAGGUUGGGCAACUGUUUCCCUUUGGGUAGGGAUACAAUUAUGGAAGCCUGA